UCCGAGUUGACCCCGGCAGUCUCCUACGAGUCCCCGGCAUUACCCGCUGGCAACAUAGGACAAGGGUUGCGCUCGUUGCGGGACUUAACCCAACAUCUCACGACACGAGCUGACGACAGCCAUGCACCACCUGUGCACAGGCCCCGAAGGGCUGCCGUAUUUCUACGACAUUCCUGUGCAUGUCAAGCCCAGGUAAGGUUCUUCGCGUCGCGUCGAAUUAAACCACAUAAUCCACCGCUUGUGCGGGCCCCCGUCAAUUCCUUUGAGUUUCAGCCUUGCGGCCGUACUCCCCAGGCGGGGCACUUACUGCGUUAGCGACGGCACCGGGAGGGUCGCUCCCCCGACGCCUAGUGCCCAUCGUUUACGGCGUGGACUAC
This 377-nucleotide unclassified non-coding RNA is filed under the name uncultured bacterium. Its description in RNAcentral is "contains 16S-23S intergenic spacer region". The record is from RNAcentral.